GAUGAACGCUGGCGGCGUGCCUAAUACAUGCAAGUCGAGCGAACAGACGAGGAGCUUGCUCCUCUGACGUUAGCGGCGGACGGGUGAGUAACACGUGGAUAACCUACCUAUAAGACUGGGAUAACUUCGGGAAACCGGAGCUAAUACCGGAUAAUAUAUUGAACCGCAUGGUUCAAUAGUUAAAGACGGUUUUGCUGUCACUUAUAGAUGGAUCCGCGCCGCAUUAGCUAGUUGGUAAGGUAACGGCUUACCAAGGCAACGAUGCUUAGCCGACCUGAGAGGGUGAUUGGCCACACUGGAACUGAGACACGGCCCAGACUCCUACGGGAGGCAGCAGUAGGGAAUCUUCCGCAAUGCGCGAAAGCUUGACGGAGCAACGCCGCGUGAGUGAUGAAGGUCUUCGGAUCGUAAAACUCUGUUAUUAGGGAAGAACAAAUGUGUAAGUAACUAUGCACGUCUUGACGGUACCUAAUCAGAAAGCCCCGGCUAACUACGUG
Molecule: ribosomal RNA, 497 nt
Filed under: uncultured bacterium
Lineage: Bacteria
Description: partial 16S ribosomal RNA
Rfam family: Bacterial small subunit ribosomal RNA
Source: RNAcentral